RNAcentral lists this ribosomal RNA (132 nucleotides) under uncultured Lactarius. Its description in RNAcentral is "partial 28S ribosomal RNA". The record is from RNAcentral. Lineage: Eukaryota; Fungi; Basidiomycota; Agaricomycetes; Russulales; Russulaceae.
UCUCCCUUCUCGGGAGACUCUCUCAACCCCCACGAACCCUUGACCUCAAAUCGGGUGAGACUACCCGCUGAACUUAACCCUGGUAAUCUGAUGCAUGCUAUCGCCGUGAUAUGUAGUAUAGUAUGGUACACC